UACAGGCUUAACACAUGCAAGUCGAGGGGCAGCAUGGUCUUAGCUUGCUAAGACUGAUGGCGACCGGCGCACGGGUGAGUAACACGUAUCCAACCUGCCGUCUACUCUUGGACAGCCUUCUGAAAGGAAGAUUAAUACAAGAUGGCAUCAUGAGUCCGCAUGUUCACAUGAUUAAAGGUAUUCCGGUAGACGAUGGGGAUGCGUUCCAUUAGAUAGUAGGCGGGGUAACGGCCCACCUAGUCUUCGAUGGAUAGGGGUUCUGAGAGGAAGGUCCCCCACAUUGGAACUGAGACACGGUCCAAACUCCUACGGGAGGCAGCAGUGAGGAAUAUUGGUCAAUGGGCGAGAGCCUGAACCAGCCAAGUAGCGUGAAGGAUGACUGCCCUAUGGGUUGUAAACUUCUUUUAUAAAGGAAUAAAGUCGGGUAUGCAUACCCGUUUGCAUGUACUUUAUGAAUAAGGAUCGGCUAACUCCGUGCCAGCAGCCGCGGUAAUACGGAGGAUCCGAGCGUUAUCCGGAUUUAUUGGGUUUAAAGGGAGCGUAGAUGGAUGUUUAAGUCAGUUGUGAAAGUUUGCGGCUCAACCGUAAAAUUGCAGUUGAUACUGGAUAUCUUGAGUGCAGUUGAGGCAGGCGGAAUUCGUGGUGUAGCGGUGAAAUGCUUAGAUAUCACGAAGAACUCCGAUUGCGAAGGCAGCCUGCUAAGCUGCAACUGACAUUGAGGCUCGAAAGUGUGGGUAUCAAACAGGAUUAGAUACCCUGGUAGUCCACACGGUAAACGAUGAAUACUCGCUGUUUGCGAUAUACGGCAAGCGGCCAAGCGAAAGCGUUAAGUAUUCCACCUGGGGAGUACGCCGGCAACGGUGAAACUCAAAGGAAUUGACGGGGGCCCGCACAAGCGGAGGAACAUGUGGUUUAAUUCGAUGAUACGCGAGGAACCUUACCCGGGCUUAAAUUGCAGAUGAAUUACGGUGAAAGCCGUAAGCCGCAAGGCAUCUGUGAAGGUGCUGCAUGGUUGUCGUCAGCUCGUGCCGUGAGGUGUCGGCUUAAGUGCCAUAACGAGCGCAACCCUUGUUGUCAGUUACUAACAGGUUCCGCUGAGGACUCUGACAAGACUGCCAUCGUAAGAUGUGAGGAAGGUGGGGAUGACGUCAAAUCAGCACGGCCCUUACGUCCGGGGCUACACACGUGUUACAAUGGGGGGUACAGAGGGCCGCUACCACGCGAGUGGAUGCCAAUCCCAAAAGCCUCUCUCAGUUCGGACUGGAGUCUGCAACCCGACUCCACGAAGCUGGAUUCGCUAGUAAUCGCGCAUCAGCCACGGCGCGGUGAAUACGUUCCCGGGCCUUGUACACACCGCCCGUCAAGCCAUGGGAGCCGGGGGUACCUGAAGUGCGUAACCGCGAGGAGCGCCCUAGGGUAAAACUGGUGACUGGGGCU
RNAcentral lists this ribosomal RNA (1437 nucleotides) under uncultured organism. RNAcentral's name for it is "SSU rRNA". It matches the Rfam family "Bacterial small subunit ribosomal RNA". The record is from RNAcentral.